Molecule: non-coding RNA, 83 nt
Organism: Bombyx mori (domestic silkworm)
Lineage: Eukaryota; Metazoa; Arthropoda; Insecta; Lepidoptera; Bombycidae
Source: Rfam
UUAACUCAAAUUUAUAUGGAACUGGAACAUGGCCUAGGCUUAUCAGUAGGGGCGCUGUUCCAACUGCAUACAAAUUUGAGUUA